This 826-nucleotide ribosomal RNA is filed under the name uncultured marine bacterium. RNAcentral's name for it is "bacterial SSU rRNA". It matches the Rfam family "Bacterial small subunit ribosomal RNA", at positions 60 to 876 of the family's 1533-position model. The record is from RNAcentral.
AGUCGAACGGCAGCAUAGAGAGCUUGCUCUCUGAUGGCGAGUGGCGAACGGGUGAGUAAUAUAUCGGAACGUACCUAGUAAUGGGGAACAACUAGCCGAAAGGUUAGCUAAUACCGCAUACGACCUACGGGAGAAAGCAGGGGAUCUUCGGACCUUGCGUUAUUAGAGCGGCCGAUAUCUGAUUAGGUAGUUGGUGGGGUAAAAGCCUACCAAGCCAACGAUCAGUAGCUGGUCUGAGAGGACGAUCAGCCACACUGGAACUGAGACACGGUCCAGACUCCUACGGGAGGCAGCAGUGGGGAAUUUUGGACAAUGGGGGCAACCCUGAUCCAGCCAUUCCGCGUGAGUGAAGAAGGCCUUCGGGUUGUAAAGCUCUUUCACAAGAGAAGAAAUCUUACUAUCAAAUAAAUAGUAAGGAUGACGGUAUCUUGAGAAGAAGCACCGGCUAACUACGUGCCAGCAGCCGCGGUAAUACGUAGGGUGCGAGCGUUAAUCGGAAUUACUGGGCGUAAAGCGUGCGCAGGCGGUUUUAUAAGUCAGAUGUGAAAUCCCCGAGCUCAACUUGGGAACUGCGUUUGAAACUGUAAGACUAGAGUGUGUCAGAGGGGGGUAGAAUUCCAUGUGUAGCAGUGAAAUGCGUAGAUAUAUGGAGGAAUACCAAUGGCGAAGGCAGCCCCCUGGGAUAACACUGACGCUCAUGCACGAAAGCGUGGGGAGCAAACAGGAUUAGAUACCCUGGUAGUCCACGCCCUAAACGAUGUCUACUAGUUGUUGGUGGAGUAAAAUCCAUGAGUAACGCAGCUAACGCGUGAAGUAGACCGCCUGG